Molecule: transfer RNA, 74 nt
Filed under: Burkholderia sp.
Lineage: Bacteria; Pseudomonadati; Pseudomonadota; Betaproteobacteria; Burkholderiales; Burkholderiaceae
Description: tRNA-Met
Rfam family: tRNA
About the family: Transfer RNA (tRNA) molecules are approximately 80 nucleotides in length. Their secondary structure includes four short double-helical elements and three loops (D, anti-codon, and T loops).
Source: RNAcentral
GGCGAAUUAGCUCAGUCGGUUAGAGCAACGGAAUCAUAAUCCGCAGGUCCGGGGUUCGAGUCCCCGAUUCGCUA